RNAcentral lists this ribosomal RNA (539 nucleotides) under uncultured bacterium. Its description in RNAcentral is "bacterial SSU rRNA". It matches the Rfam family "Bacterial small subunit ribosomal RNA", at positions 777 to 1329 of the family's 1533-position model. The record is from RNAcentral.
AAUAGAUACCCGGUAGUCCACGCCGUAAACGAUGGAUGCUAGUUUUUACCCAUAUCGACCUGGGUAGAAACGAAGUUAACGCGUUAAGCAUCCCGCCUGGGGAGUACGAGCGCAAGCUUAAAACUCAAAGGAAUUGACGGGGACCCGCACAAGCGGUGGAGCGUGUUGUUUAAUUCGAAGAUAAGCGAAGAACCUUACCAAGGCUUGACUUCCUGCGAAGGUUUCCGAAAGGAAAUUGUGCCUUUUAGGAGCGCAGUGACAGGUGCUGCAUGGCCGUCGUCAGCUCGUGUCGUGAGAUGCAUGGUUAAGUCCAUUAACGAGCGCAACCCUUAUGAUUAGUUGGAUUUUUCUAAUCAGACUGCCCUGGCAACAGGGAGGAAGGAGGGGAUGAUGUCAGGUCAGUAUUGCCCUUACGUCUUGGGCGACAAACACGCUACAAUGGCCGGUACAAAGGGCAGCCAACUCGCGAGAGGGAGCAAACCCCAUCAAAGCUGGUCUUAGUUCGGAUUGCAGGCUGAAACUCGCCUGCAUGAAGUCGG